Molecule: ribosomal RNA, 468 nt
Filed under: uncultured bacterium
Lineage: Bacteria
Description: partial 16S ribosomal RNA
Rfam family: Bacterial small subunit ribosomal RNA
Source: RNAcentral
GACGAACGCUGGCGGCGUGCUUAACACAUGCAAGUCGAACGGAAAGGCCCUGCUUUUGUGGGGUGCUCGAGUGGCGAACGGGUGAGUAACACGUGAGUAACCUGCCCUUGACUUUGUGAUAACUUCAGGAAACUGGGGCUAAUACCUGAUAGGAGCUCCUGCUGCCUGGUGGGGGUUGGAAAGUUUCGGCGGUUGGGGAUGGACUCGCGGCUUAUCAGCUUGUUGGUGGGGUAGUGGCUUACCAAGGCUUUGACGGGUAGCCGGCCUGAGAGGGUGACCGGCCACAUUGGGACUGAGAUACGGCCCAGACUCCUACGGGAGGCAGCAGUGGGGAAUAUUGCACAAUGGGCGGAAGCGUGAUGCAGCAACGCCGCGUGCGGGAUGACGGCCUUCGGGUUGUAAACCGCUUUCGCCUGUGACGAAGCGUGAGUGACGGUAAUGGGUAAAGAAGCACCGGCUAACUACGUG